Molecule: non-coding RNA, 107 nt
Organism: Elaeis guineensis (African oil palm)
Lineage: Eukaryota; Viridiplantae; Streptophyta; Magnoliopsida; Arecales; Arecaceae
Source: RefSeq, a predicted model, not a curated record
ACAAUGUGGUGUGGACAUUUACGGAUGAGGUCCUUCAAUCUUUCCCAUGUUUCAUUAAACAUCUCCUUAUCCAUUUGGGAAAAAUAGGUGAUGGCUUUUCUAAUUUG